GAGGGAAACAACCCAGAACAUCUCUGGAAACAAUAUUUUCACUACCAGAUUUACGAGCAGAUUCUUCUCGCCAUCCUACUAUGAAGAGGGGAGUGAGCAAGGAGCUACAUGAGCUCUGUGGAAAUGCUGGCAUUGCGAUGUGGACACCAAAAAUGAGCCUAGAGCACCACAAUCAGUACUUUCACCUAUGUGAUGUACGCAGCAGACAACCACUUCUGUGAUGAACCGAGUAAACAACAAGUUCCUGGGAAGACAACUGCAGGAUUUUUCUGGACUGUUUUGA
This is a long non-coding RNA of Pyrgilauda ruficollis (rufous-necked snowfinch), 283 nucleotides long. RefSeq lists it as uncharacterized. The record is from RefSeq and is a predicted model, not a curated record. Lineage: Eukaryota; Metazoa; Chordata; Aves; Passeriformes; Passeridae. The transcript is spliced from 4 exons.